This is a long non-coding RNA of Suricata suricatta (meerkat), 1051 nucleotides long. RefSeq lists it as uncharacterized. NCBI's taxonomy places the organism in Eukaryota, Metazoa, Chordata, Mammalia, Carnivora, Herpestidae. The transcript is spliced from 3 exons. The record is from RefSeq and is a predicted model, not a curated record.
ACACACAGUGCAACCGGAGACCCUGCUACCUCUGUCCCAGCCCCCGUGGCCUGCCAGCACCCCCAGACCACAGAGGGGGAGAAGAGCCCAGAACCCGCAGGGCCCCCCCAGAGCCAGAGUGCCCGGGCCCCUACACCGCCUCCGACGCCCAGCGGCUCUGCCCCAGGAGGGCCAGCGUCCCUGGGCUCCCAGUAGCUGCCUGGGCCCGGGGGUGGCGGCCGAAUCCUCCAUACACCACGUGGACCCGGCCUGAGUGGGGGCAGGGCGGGCCCCACAAUGGCCCUGUUGCCCCAGCACCCGUCCACCCCCCAUCUGCCCCCACGUUCUCUCCUCUGGACUCCCGGGAGCCUGGUGCCAGGGAGAUAGGCCCCUACCCACCCCCAUUUGCACUGAGAAAAGAAAUUAUGGAGUUUUGUCUCCUAGAAUAAAGAUACAGAGUCGAGUAGAGAGAGAGAGGAGAGAGAGAGAGAGAGAGAGACGUAUAUUAUAUAUUAUAGAGAGAGAGUGGGCGGGUGGAGAGCCAGGAGGAGGCCAGGCGGGCGGGACAGCGGGUCGGACCCUCAUCCCACCCCAGGACAUCGCCCCCUCCCCUCCCACACGCCCCCAGCCUCCUGUGCGGAUGCCCACACCCACACUCGGCUCAGGGCUGCCUCGGGGGAGGGCCCGAGUGGGGGCCGUGCCUUUGCCCAGACCCUUGCUCUGGACCCUGCACUUUGACCCAGGCUGGGGGCUGGAGGACCCCCCCCCAGCCCAGCCUUGCUGCCUCUGUGGGAGCUGGUGGUCCCCGUCCGAGGGGGUCUCUCAGGGGACAUUCCUGUGGGGCCCUGAUGUGCUCACUGAGACCCCCGCACCUCCCACGGACCCUGCGGUGGAGGUUCGGCAGGGGUCCGGCUGGGGUCCCCUUCCCAUGCCCGAGGAUCUGGGGUCCAGCCCAGCUGCCAAGUGACCUUGUCCCAGCUCCCCCUCCCCAGGCUGGCGUGAGUGUGUGUGUGUCGUGCCCAGCUUCUAUUUCAUAUUGCAAAUAUAAAUAAAUACAUACGGUUUAAGAUUC